Molecule: long non-coding RNA, 868 nt
Filed under: Pan troglodytes (chimpanzee)
Lineage: Eukaryota; Metazoa; Chordata; Mammalia; Primates; Hominidae
Description: lincRNA
Source: RNAcentral
UGAACACUAUCAAGGCUGCUCUGUGGGCCCAGCACUCCAGCAAAUGAAUAGAAACAUAAUGUUCCUGCCAAGCUGAUUUAUCUAUCAUUUAACCAGAGUGAGCGAGAGAAGAAACAAACAGUGGGAGAAGAUGUCUCACACACACUGAAGUUAGACCACUGCAAAACUGAGCCAGACGGCUUUGUUGUGCAGCUUUCUGAUGCCUCCAGGGGACAGCUGCUUAUCGGAGGGAGACUAUUGUGGGGUUGGGGCUGGAGAUGUUCCAUGCAGCAUCCUGCAAGGGGAAGCAGUUACUUUAUGAGAGCGAUGCUUCAACCAGCUAACUGGAUAGCCCUCCCUUUUGCAGCUGGUGUGGGUGAAGAUGUGGAAGCUUGAUUCUCCUUGGAAGCUCUGAUCACCCCAGCCCAGAACCACUAGUCCCCACUUAGUCUUGGAGAGGAGGCAAGGAUGUGUGUCCUCUGCGUGUAGCCUUACGGUCUGCAAAUGCUUAUGAAAACCUAUGAAAGAGAGACUACUCAUUUUCGCUCCAUUUUAGAGAAAAAAAAAAAAACCUGAAGCUUAGAACAUUUAAGAAAUUUUCCCUAAAUCCAUCUAGCUAGCAAGAAGUGGGGACAAAAUGAGAGUCCACUUGGCUCUCAGAUCCAGCCUCAAGUACCUUUGAGAGCCACAGGGGUUGCACAACAUGGACUUCCUCUGCUAGAGUGGGAAGACAGUCUUUUUUACAUGAAAAAAUCAGGAUAGGCUGGGCGCAGUGGCUCACACCUGUAAUCUCAACACUUUGAGAGACAGAUCACUUGAGGUCAAGAGUUCAAGACCAGCCUGGCCAACAUGGUGAAACCUCAUCUCUACUAAAAAUACAAAAUUAGCC